AGUAAAAUCAGCUAAUGAAGCUCCUAGGUCCAUACCCUAGCAAUGGAGGUUAACAACCCUUCUUUUACUA
RNAcentral lists this transfer RNA (70 nucleotides) under Ctenolucius hujeta. RNAcentral describes it as "tRNA-Met". The record is from RNAcentral. Lineage: Eukaryota; Metazoa; Chordata; Actinopteri; Characiformes; Ctenoluciidae.